Aricia agestis (brown argus) is the source of this 317-nucleotide long non-coding RNA. RefSeq lists it as uncharacterized. NCBI's taxonomy places the organism in Eukaryota, Metazoa, Arthropoda, Insecta, Lepidoptera, Lycaenidae. The record is from RefSeq and is a predicted model, not a curated record. The transcript is spliced from 3 exons.
GCCGACACACUAGCGUUUGUCCAGCGUAGGCGUUCGAUGAACGAAUGUGCAGCGCAGACGCCGCGACAACGCCGCGUCGCCGCAUCUCUACUGGAACAAUCAGUACGCGGCGCUAGCGCCGCGUACUGAUCGUUUCUGAAUAAAUUGUGUAACGUCUGCGCCGCGCUAGCGCAGCAUUUAAUUAGUUCUGCAGAGGAAACGUUACGACAACGCGACGUACGCGCCACGUUGUCGCGGCGUCUGCGCUAGUGCGCAUACGUUCAUCGAACGCCUACGCUGGACAAACGCUAGUGUGAAGGCAGCCUAAAUAUUACGAC